GCCCGCCUAGCUCAAUCGGAUAGAGCGUCAGACUUUUAAGGCGGUGUUGGCUUUGUGAAUCUGAAGGCUGCGAGUUCGACCCUCGCGGUGGGCU
Molecule: non-coding RNA, 94 nt
Organism: Gymnopus androsaceus JB14
Lineage: Eukaryota; Fungi; Basidiomycota; Agaricomycetes; Agaricales; Omphalotaceae
Source: the annotation of a GenBank genome assembly